This 1186-nucleotide long non-coding RNA is filed under the name Fragaria vesca (wild strawberry). RNAcentral describes it as "long non-coding RNA (FVES_LNC004317)". Lineage: Eukaryota; Viridiplantae; Streptophyta; Magnoliopsida; Rosales; Rosaceae. The record is from RNAcentral.
UCGUCUCAUCGAGUAAAUACCCCGCUAGCUCCUCAAAACUCUUCAAAAGAAGCCUUCCUUGACUACUUACUUUUCUUUCUUCUCGGAUGGAAACCCUGAUGAGACAAUAGAAGAAAGCACUACUUCCAAGAAGUCUAGCAAGAAGUUCCUUGCCUUACUAAGCUUUCAGUAAAGUAAUCCCUUGUUACCGCUCCGUGGGGGAGUGAUUGAAGCGAUUGGGACAAGAGAGAGCAGAGUUAUUUUGCCUGCUAACUCUUAGCAAUACGGAUCUGUAAAAUUUCGCUUGCAUAGAUUAGGGAAGUCUGGUUUGCGAGCUUGCCUCUCUCUGCUUUUGCCUCUCUGCGCUUUGUAGGCUUUAGAGAACAAGUCCCUCUUGCGCCGGUAUUCGCUGCCAUCAAAUCAUAGUAAGUCGGCUAUCUCACUGUGAAAGGCAACUCCUAGCUCUAAGAACCUCUUAAGAGCAGAAAGCUAGAAUUCAAGUGAAGGGGGCUUCAAUAGCUUUGGCUGUGAAAACUCUUGGUCUUGGAGCAUCAGUGUCAUCAGUUCACCGGCAGGACAAAUAACUACUAGGUUUGUGCAAGAAAAUCUUCUUGCGUGACGGGAAAGAGAGCUGGUGUCAUUGGGGAAGCCUUCGUUUAAGUUGCGGGUUUGAUUUGUUCCUUGUGAGCGUUAGUGAGUGGGGAAUUGUAAGCUUUGAGCUUCAAUAGGUUAUACUUUUACAUUAGCUUAGCAAACAAAGGGCGACCAGAAAAAAGGCUUUCCUUCCUUUUUUCCCUUUGACAUAUAUCCCAAGUACUUCUAAAUAGAACUAGUGCCAAAGGUCAGUCAAUUACUUUAUAAAAGAGAUGCUAUUGCGCCUCCUGCGUUGCCAUCUUCACGAACGAGACUGAACCAUUUUACAUUGUCCGAGCCGGAGGAGAGUCAAGCUCUACCCGAAACAGAACCCAGGCGGUUAAGCGGCAUAGCGAGCUUCGGUCAUGCGGUUUUUUGUUCAUGUUCCCGUAUCCUCGGGCGAAAGUCCCCCGGUGGGUAGAAAUUCUCGGGAUCUUUCUUCUCCUGACUGGACCAUCCGAUCAGUGCACCUAUUUGAUUUGAAAAGGGUUGUUUUAUUUUAGGGCACCUAAGGCAGUCGGUUUUGCACAUGCCUACCUAUAUUAAAGUCAAAAGUACAUGCCACCACCAACCG